Molecule: unclassified non-coding RNA, 329 nt
Filed under: plant metagenome
Description: partial contains 5.8S ribosomal RNA, internal transcribed spacer 2, and large subunit ribosomal RNA
Rfam family: 5.8S ribosomal RNA (bases 1-105)
Source: RNAcentral
GAAAUGCGAUAAGUAAUGUGAAUUGCAGAAUUCCGUGAAUCAUCGAAUCUUUGAACGCACAUUGCGCCCUCUGGUAUUCCGGGGGGCAUGCCUGUCCGAGCGUCAUUGCGAACCCCUCAAGCACGGCUUGUGUGAUGGGCCCUCCCGCGUCUUGGUCGUCAAGACGGGCCCGAAAAGCAGUGGCGGCUUCGCGGUUAUCCGAUCAGCCAGAGCGUAUGGGGACUUUCUCUCUGUCACACGCCCGCGGCGCGGACCGACGCCUGUCGACCUUUAGUCAUCUUUUUCUCGGUUGACCUCGGAUCAGGUAGGGAUACCCGCUGAACUUAAGC